Long non-coding RNA from Balaenoptera ricei (Rice's whale), 592 nucleotides. RefSeq lists it as uncharacterized. NCBI's taxonomy places the organism in Eukaryota, Metazoa, Chordata, Mammalia, Artiodactyla, Balaenopteridae. The record is from RefSeq and is a predicted model, not a curated record. The transcript is spliced from 3 exons.
CCACGUGACUUCCUCCCUCCCCCACCCCACUCCCCAGCGCCCCUCUCCGCCCCGCCUCCCUCCUAGGUGGAGGAAGAUGAUUCCCCCCCCAUCUUGACCGCCCCCUGCCUUCGCCGCCAAGCACGGACUCCGUCGCUUCUGCCGACCCGGUAUCAGUGGUUGGAUCCAAGGGAAUUCCGGAACCCAAACCGUCCAUUACCGCGGCUCCGGGGCUGUCGGGAAGAAGGUCCGUGAUCUGGGUUGCCACCAGGAGGUCAACCGUGAAACAGUUGUUCAAAAGAAUGAAGCACCUCUGGGACUUCCCCAGUGGCACAGUGGGUAAGAAUCCUCCUGCCAAUGCAGGGGACAUGGGUUUGAUCCCUGGUCCAGGAAGAUCCUACAUGCCAUGGAGCAACUAAGCCCGUGUGCCACAGCUACUGAAGUCCGUGUGCCUAUAGCCCGUGCUCCACAACAAGAGAAGCCACCAUAAGGAGAAGCCCGCACACCGCAACAAAGAGUAGCCCCCGGUCGCCACAACUAGAGAAAGGCUGCACGCAGCAACGAAGACCCAACACAGCCAAAAUAAGUAAAUAAAAUUUAAAAAAAAAUAGAA